Molecule: long non-coding RNA, 452 nt
Organism: Ziziphus jujuba (common jujube)
Lineage: Eukaryota; Viridiplantae; Streptophyta; Magnoliopsida; Rosales; Rhamnaceae
Exons: 3
Source: RefSeq, a predicted model, not a curated record
AAUAAUGCCAUUUCUUUGUUCCAUCUCCACUCUUCCAAAAUUGUUUGUAAAGGACGCAUUCUUUGCUGAAGGUGAUAUAGUGUGUUCGAUCUCCUGGGACGCAAAUUGUUUGCAAAAGGACUGGACGGACUGCUACUUUGCACGCUAACCUUGUCCUUCUCGGCUCAAGCAACACCUAACAGAGAUAGAAUCUCUGAUUCAUUCAGGGGCUACAGCUUAGUGCUAAGUAGAGAUCUAAGAUAUUAUUCCAAGACAGCAGUGACUCCGAAAUAUUAAUUUUACAAGGUGUUAACGGAAAGUCUUGCAAGGAUUUAUUAAUGACUAAAACAAGAAGAAGAAAAACGACAUAAUCACACCAGAUAUGAGAAUUAUGUGAUAUUUUGCUACAGAAAUUGUACACUAGAUAUGGAGUAAAUUUUUGGAGAUCAUUUCUUAAGUAAAUUUUUUUUACU